This 444-nucleotide ribosomal RNA is filed under the name uncultured Sphingomonadaceae bacterium. RNAcentral's name for it is "bacterial SSU rRNA". It matches the Rfam family "Bacterial small subunit ribosomal RNA", at positions 335 to 798 of the family's 1533-position model. Lineage: Bacteria; Pseudomonadati; Pseudomonadota; Alphaproteobacteria; Sphingomonadales; Sphingomonadaceae. The record is from RNAcentral.
GUCCUACGGGAGGCAGCAGUGGGGAAUAUUGGACAAUGGGCGCAAGCCUGAUCCAGCCAUGCCGCGUGAGUGAAGAAGGCCUUCGGGUUGUAAAGCUCUUUUACCCGGGAUGAUAAUGACAGUACCGGGAGAAUAAGCUCCGGCUAACUCCGUGCCAGCAGCCGCGGUAAUACGGAGGGAGCUAGCGUUGUUCGGAAUUACUGGGCGUAAAGCGCGCGUAGGCGGUUUUUUAAGUCAGAGGUGAAAGCCCGGGGCUCAACCCCGGAAUAGCCUUUGAAACUGGAAAACUUGAAUCUUGGAGAGGUCAGUGGAAUUCCGAGUGUAGAGGUGAAAUUCGUAGAUAUUCGGAAGAACACCAGUGGCGAAGGCGACUGACUGGACAAGUAUUGACGCUGAGGUGCGAAAGCGUGGGGAGCAAACAGGAUUAGAUACCCGAGUAGUCAC